CCUACGGGUGGCAGCAGUGAGGAAUAUUGGUCAAUGGACGAGAGUCUGAACCAGCCAAGUAGCGUGAAGGAUGACUGCCCUAUGGGUUGUAAACUUCUUUUAUAUGGGAAUAAAAUGUUCCACGUGUGGGAUUUUGUAUGUACCAUAUGAAUAAGGAUAGGCUAACUCCGUGCCAGCAGCCGCGGUAAUACGGAGGAUCCGAGCGUUAUCAGGAUUUAUUGGGUUUAAAGGGAGCGUAGGUGGAUUGUUAAGUCAGUUGUGAAAGUUUGCGGCUCAACCGUAAAAUUGCAGUUGAAACUGGCAGUCUUGAGUACAGUAGAGGUGGGCGGAAUUCGUGGUGUAGCGGUGAAAUGCUUAGAUAUCACGAAGAACACCGAUUGCGAAGGCAGUUCACUGGACUGCAACUGACACUGAGGCUCGAAAGUGUGGGUAUCAAACAGGAUUAGAUACCCGUGUAGUC
RNAcentral lists this ribosomal RNA (460 nucleotides) under uncultured bacterium. RNAcentral describes it as "partial 16S ribosomal RNA". It matches the Rfam family "Bacterial small subunit ribosomal RNA", at positions 338 to 795 of the family's 1533-position model. The record is from RNAcentral.